RNAcentral lists this ribosomal RNA (219 nucleotides) under uncultured bacterium. RNAcentral's name for it is "partial 16S ribosomal RNA". It matches the Rfam family "Bacterial small subunit ribosomal RNA", at positions 15 to 225 of the family's 1533-position model. The record is from RNAcentral.
GAUCAUGGCUCAUGAUGAAUGCUAGCUACAGGCUUAACACAUGCAAGUCGAGGGGCAGCGGGAUUGAAGCUUGCUUCAAUUGCCGGCGACCGGCGCACGGGUGAGUAACGCGUAUCCAACCUUCCGUACACUCAGGGAUAGCCUUUCGAAAGAAAGAUUAAUACCUGAUGGUAUGAUGAGAUUGCAUGAUAGCAUCAUUAAAGAUUUAUCGGUGUACGA